This 202-nucleotide long non-coding RNA is filed under the name Homo sapiens (human). RNAcentral's name for it is "non-protein coding lnc-SIPA1-2:2". Lineage: Eukaryota; Metazoa; Chordata; Mammalia; Primates; Hominidae. The record is from RNAcentral.
CGAAGAGGCUGCACGCACAGCCGCUGCCGGGGGUCGGGGCCAAGUGCGCGCCUCGCCGAGGACGAAGAGGCUGGCGUGCCCGGUGGCUCGGCUAGCUCCCGGGUCCCGGCCCCGCCUGGAGGAUGCGGCUGUGGGGGAAUGGGAGCGGCCGGACCUCCCAGCCUGACAGUGCAUCAAGAGCUUUGCGGAGCCUACAGCCCGG